GAUGAACGCUGGCGGCGUGCCUAAUACAUGCAAGUCGAGCGAACAGACGAGGAGCUUGCUCCUCUGACGUUAGCGGCGGACGGGUGAGUAACACGUGGAUAACCUACCUAUAAGACUGGGAUAACCUCGGGAAACCGGAGCUAAUACCGGAUAAUAUAUUGAACCGCAUGGUUCAAUAGUGAAAGACGGUUUUGCUGUCACUUAUAGAUGGAUCCGCGCCGCAUUAGCUAGUUGGUAAGGUAACGGCUUACCAAGGCGACGAUGCGUAGCCGACCUGAGAGGGUGAUCGGCCACACUGGAACGGAGACACGGUCCAGACUCCUACGGGAGGCAGCAGUAGGGAAUCUUCCGCAAUGGGCGAAAGCCUGACGGAGCAACACCGCGUGAGUGAUGAAGGUCUUCGGAUCGUAAAACUCUGUUAUUAGGGAAGAACAAAUGUGUAAGUAACUAUGCACGUCUUGACGGUACCUAAUCAGAAAGCCACGGCUAACUACGUG
RNAcentral lists this ribosomal RNA (497 nucleotides) under uncultured bacterium. RNAcentral's name for it is "partial 16S ribosomal RNA". It matches the Rfam family "Bacterial small subunit ribosomal RNA", at positions 28 to 507 of the family's 1533-position model. The record is from RNAcentral.